RNAcentral lists this ribosomal RNA (308 nucleotides) under uncultured bacterium. RNAcentral's name for it is "partial 16S ribosomal RNA". It matches the Rfam family "Bacterial small subunit ribosomal RNA", at positions 505 to 807 of the family's 1533-position model. The record is from RNAcentral.
GAGACAGCAGUAGCCGCGGUAAAACGGAGGGCGCGAGCGUUACCCGGGUUUACUGGGCGUAAAGGGCGUGUAGGCGGCCUGGGGCGUCCCAUGUGAAAGGCCACGGCUCAACCGUGGAGGAGCGUGGGAUACGCUCAGGCUAGAGGGUGGGAGAGGGUGGUGGAAUUCCCGGAGUAGCGGUGAAAUGCGCAGAUACCGGGAGGAACGCCGAUGGCGAAGGCAGCCACCUGGUCCACUUCUGACGCUGAGGCGCGAAAGCGUGGGGAGCAAACCGGAUUAGAUACCCGGGUAGUCCCUGUCUCUUAUAC